RNAcentral lists this ribosomal RNA (492 nucleotides) under uncultured bacterium. RNAcentral's name for it is "bacterial SSU rRNA". It matches the Rfam family "Bacterial small subunit ribosomal RNA", at positions 903 to 1397 of the family's 1533-position model. The record is from RNAcentral.
AAAUGAAUUGACGGGGGCCCGCACAAGCGGAGGAACAUGUGGUUUAAUUCGAUGAUACGCGAGGAACCUUACCUGGGCUUAAAUGGGGAGUGACGUUUGCUGAAAGGUGAAUUUCUUCGGACACUCUUCAAGGUGCUGCAUGGUUGUCGUCAGCUCGUGCCGUGAGGUGUCGGGUUAAGUCCCAUAACGAGCGCAACCCUUGCUGUUAGUUGCCAGCGCGUAAAGGCGGGGACUCUAGCGGGACUGCCACCGUAAGGUGAGAGGAAGGUGGGGAUGACGUCAAAUCAGCACGGCCCUUAUGUCCAGGGCUACACACGUGUUACAAUGGCCGGUACAAAGGGCAGCUACACUGCGAAGUGAUGCAAAUCCUGAAAGCCGGUCUCAGUUCGGAUCGAAGUCUGCAACCCGACUUCGUGAAGUUGGAUUCGCUAGUAAUCGCGCAUCAGCCAUGGCGCGGUGAAUACGUUCCCGGGCCUUGUACACACCGCCCGU